CCCUUAGAUGAUUUGGGCUGCACGCGCGCUACACUGACCCUAACAAUGAGCAACUGUCUGGCCUGAGAUGGCUGGGUAGCCUUUUCAACUCAUGUCAUGAUUGGGCUAGAUUUUUGUAAGUCUUGAUCUCUAACGAGGAAUCCCUAGUAUGCGUGAAUCAUCAAUCCAUGCAGAUUAUGUCCCUGCCCUUUGUACACACCGCCCGUCGCUCCUACCGAUUGAGUGUUCCGGUGAGGCUUUGGGAGAAUGGCCUCAACAUGAGUUUAUCGUGUUUUGCCGUUUGAACUUAGUCAAACCUUAUCACUUAGAGGAAGGAGAAGUCGUAACA
RNAcentral lists this ribosomal RNA (328 nucleotides) under uncultured eukaryote. RNAcentral's name for it is "partial 18S ribosomal RNA". It matches the Rfam family "Eukaryotic small subunit ribosomal RNA", at positions 1470 to 1796 of the family's 1831-position model. The record is from RNAcentral.